GAUGAAGAACGCAGCGAAAUGCGAUACGUAAUGUGAAUUGCAGAAUUCAGUGAAUCAUUGAAUCUUUGAACGCACAUUGCGCCUGCCAGCACUCUGGCAGGCAUGCCUGUUCGAGCGUCAUUUCAACCAUCAAGCCCUAGGCUUGCGUUGGAGCCCUGCGGCUGCCGCAGGCCCCUAAAAGCAGUGGCGGGCUCGCUAUCACACCGAGUGCAGUAGAUUACUCUUCGCUCAGGGCGUGUGGCGGGUUCCAGCCGUGAAACCCCCUACUUCUCAAGGUUGACCUCGGAUCAGGUAGGAAUACCCGCUGAACUUAAGCAUAUCAAUAAGCGGAGGA
This 334-nucleotide unclassified non-coding RNA is filed under the name soil metagenome. Its description in RNAcentral is "partial contains 5.8S ribosomal RNA, internal transcribed spacer 2, and large subunit ribosomal RNA". The stretch from base 1 to 120 matches the Rfam family "5.8S ribosomal RNA", at positions 35 to 154 of the family's 154-position model. The record is from RNAcentral.